GAGUCCCGUCACCCCGGGCGUUUGUGUGUGACCGCCCCUUGCCGUACCCCAGUGAGACCAUGGCAACCACUGGGCAAAGGGGGUCGGGACUGAGGGUGCUGCAGGACCCACAAACCACCCCGGCUCUGCAGCGGCUGCUGGACACCUGCUCACUUAAUGACAAAAUUGUGACUUCAGAGAUUAAAUCUCAUUACUUGGCCAGUGAGCUUGGCAGGAUGAUCCCUCUUCUCUCAUUACGUCUUAGAAGUACUGAACCUUCGCCCUGGCUGCUGUUUGCUCUGCUGCAGCCGGGACCGGGGGGGUUUGGCAGGGUUCCUGAGGUGCUGCCUGUGCCAAACGGAUGUAGUCUCAUUAGCACCAGCACCAGGGAGGUUUUUAUUGCCAUUAAGACAGCGUUGAAGGUGCCUUCCUGCUGGGCAAGGCACGAACACAGCAGGAGAUGAAAGUCCAGCUCUCCUUUCCUCGAGAGCUCCUCAUCACUUAGCAUCUAUUUAACUUGUCUGCCAAAACCAGAUGGAGCCACAAACCAUCUUGUCUGCGGCUCUGCUCUCCCCUUGGCCAGCGCUGGCACCCAUGGGCGCCCCGGAGGGAAGACAGAGCCGAAAGGCGCCCGGAGGCAAGGAGCGAGGGCACCCGCAGGACUUGUGAGAAGCUGGUCUCAGGGAACAUGGCUCUCACACCCAUUUCCAUCACCUCGGACAAGAUCAUCACUGGGAUCGCUAACACGGAGUGCAGAGGUAACAAGGCUCUUGAAAGCACCCCAAACCUGUGUACGAGCGGGGCUGUGCAGCUCCCCAAGCACAGGGUCCCUCUGCUCCAUCCACUGCCGUAUCCUUGCCGACCCCGCUGGGCUGGGAACACCCAGCUGCCUUCCUGCUCCUGCCUUUGCUCCACGUAACAGAGAAAAAGACAGAGAGGCCUGAAAAAGACCACAGCCAAACCAUCACCCACAUGCACACAACUGGACAUCUACGUGCAAGCUUCAGUGAAAAAUCAGAGUUGGGUGUUGAAACGGGAUUAGGGUGAGACAUGGUGCUGCUGUCAUGUGCUCGACCAUGCAGGGAAAUCCAGCUGUGCUGCACCAGCAACAGGGGACUGGGGUGCAGGAGGAGGCCAGCAGGGCUGGAAAGAGGCACCAGGCACCUGCGAGGCCCCCAGCCCCCCAGGCUUCCCUGCCAGCAGGGCGGCCACAUGGAGACACGACCCUGCAAACAGGAACGUCUGCCCCUGCCCACCGAGACGCGCUGUGGGAUGCUGUGGGUACAGCACCCUCGAGGGAGCUCGGUCUGCAUCUCCCUCCAUGCAGCACGUACCACACACUUAAUUGAAAUACUCCAUUUUUUCUCCCUUGGUACACGACCUUCAGUGUUUCCUGCCUGUUUGUCUUCUUGGCCAUUUGAGGAAACUGUGUAAUAUGAGUAUUAGUGCACUAUUAAACCUUCUCAGUAGAAUUGUCUUUCCUGGCUGGUAGCUGAACAAAAGAUAUUUUCUACCGAGAAUAGUAAUUUCAAUUUAAAAUGGCAACAUAGGAAGUAGGCAAGAUGCUCCCUGCUGUAAUUAGAACAAGUUUUCCAGUAUUCUGGGUUAUCUUUAGACUCUGGAAGUAUAGUUGCUCUACUAGGAUUAAUAAGUCACCUCCAUUAGCUCUCUCGCUGUGCUGGAAUCACAGGGGCAUCAUAGCAGCAGCGCUGAUCAGAAACCAUUUGCAUAUUCUGAAAUACAGAAGGCAUUCUGAAACAGUUGUGUUAUUUUUGUUGGUUUAUAAUAUUAAUAAAGGCAAAGGAGGAGAAGGAAA
Columba livia (rock pigeon) is the source of this 1795-nucleotide long non-coding RNA. RefSeq lists it as uncharacterized. The record is from RefSeq and is a predicted model, not a curated record. The transcript is spliced from 2 exons. Lineage: Eukaryota; Metazoa; Chordata; Aves; Columbiformes; Columbidae.